GGGCGCAUAGCUCAGUUGGUAGAGCGAUUCCCUUACAAGGAAUAGGUCACGGGUUCAAGUCCUGUUGCGCCCA
Molecule: transfer RNA, 73 nt
Filed under: Propionibacteriaceae bacterium
Lineage: Bacteria; Bacillati; Actinomycetota; Actinomycetes; Propionibacteriales; Propionibacteriaceae
Description: tRNA-Val
Rfam family: tRNA
About the family: Transfer RNA (tRNA) molecules are approximately 80 nucleotides in length. Their secondary structure includes four short double-helical elements and three loops (D, anti-codon, and T loops).
Source: RNAcentral